Molecule: unclassified non-coding RNA, 373 nt
Filed under: uncultured bacterium
Lineage: Bacteria
Description: contains 16S-23S intergenic spacer region
Source: RNAcentral
UCCGGUUUGUCACCGGCAGUCAUCUUAGAGUGCCCAACUCAAUGCUGGCAACUAAGAUCAAGGGUUGCGCUCGUUGCGGGACUUAACCCAACAUCUCACGACACGAGCUGACGACAACCAUGCACCACCUGUCUCCGCUGCCCUUGCGGGACGGCCUAUCUCUAAGCCCGUCAGCGGGAUGUCAAGCCCUGGUAAGGUUCUUCGCGUUGCUUCGAAUUAAACCACAUGCUCCACUGCUUGUGCGGGCCCCCGUCAAUUCCUUUGAGUUUCGGUCUUGCGACCGUACUCCCCAGGCGGAGUGUUUCACGCGUUAGCUGGGCCCCUGAUCCACGUAGACCAAGGGCGAACACUCAUCGUUUACGGCAUGGACUAC